RNAcentral lists this long non-coding RNA (536 nucleotides) under Heterocephalus glaber (naked mole-rat). RNAcentral's name for it is "lncRNA (ENSHGLG00000046533.1)". Lineage: Eukaryota; Metazoa; Chordata; Mammalia; Rodentia; Bathyergidae. The record is from RNAcentral.
CGGACAUCACUGCGCAGCGCACGCGCAAUAGCUCCAGAGAGGGACGUACCACCGCCAGUGGGAACGAACAUCAGAGAAUACCAAUGAACCAUCAUUUGCAAAUGGGACUUGCUGAAGGAGGAAGUUUGAAGUGCAAACCUCCAUCAACAUCCCAGGCACUGUGGGGUGCAAUGAGGAUAUGGCCAAGCUCCAGGCGUGCAGCUCUGAGAUAUACACACCUUACAUCGUCAGUACCCAAUGUUGAGGCAUAAAGGGCCUUCCAGAGUUGUCUUGAGUAUGUGGAAGUGGUACCUGGUAUCCUGAGGAUCUACUUGAUCCAACUUGCUGAGAAAGUUGCCACUGAGGAUUUGUUAUGGGCAUUCAAUUCGCAGUGAAAGUUACGCCAACUGAUGCCAGUGAGGAAAAGCAGAACUGCAGAAUUGCUGGAUUGGACAUGGGCUGUCAGAAGCCAAAGAUGACUGUAGUAUUUCUGCCCUGAUCAGCUAGAAGAAUGGAGUUGCCAGAUACCAAGAUAUGGAAGAAGGUACAAGGAACAG